Molecule: ribosomal RNA, 247 nt
Filed under: Klebsiella sp. A-Nf5
Lineage: Bacteria; Pseudomonadati; Pseudomonadota; Gammaproteobacteria; Enterobacterales; Enterobacteriaceae
Description: partial 23S ribosomal RNA
Rfam family: Bacterial large subunit ribosomal RNA
Source: RNAcentral
AGUGGACGCAUCACUGGUGUUCGGGUUGUCAUGCCAAUGGCAUUGCCCGGUAGCUAAAUGCGGAAGAGAUAAGUGCUGAAAGCAUCUAAGCACGAAACUUGCCCCGAGAUGAGUUCUCCCUGAGACUUUAAGUCUCCUGAAGGAACGUUGAAGACGACGACGUUGAUAGGCCGGGUGUGUAAGCGCAGCGAUGCGUUGAGCUAACCGGUACUAAUGAACCGUGAGGCUUAACCUUACAACGCCGAAG